GGGUUGUGAGGUUAAGCGACUAAGCGUACACGGUGGAUGCCCUGGCAGUCAGAGGCGAUGAAGGGCGUGCUAAUCUGCGAUAAGCGCCGGUAAGGUGAUAUGAACCGUUAUAACCGGCGAUACCCGAAUGGGGAAACCCAGUGUGACUCGUCACACUAUCAUUAACUGAAUCCAUAGGUUAAUGAGGCGAACCGGGGGAACUGAAACAUCUAAGUACCCCGAGGAAAAGAAAUCAACCGAGAUUCCCCCAGUAGCGGCGAGCGAACGGGGAGGAGCCCAGAGCCUGAAUCAGCAUGUGUGUUAGUGGAAGCGUCUGGAAAGGCGCGCGAUACAGGGUGACAGCCCCGUACACAAAAGCGCAUGUGCUGUGAGCUCGAUGAGUAGGGCGGGACACGUGGUAUCCUGUCUGAAUAUGGGGGGACCAUCCUCCAAGGCUAAAUACUCCUGACUGACCGAUAGUGAACCAGUACCGUGAGGGAAAGGCGAAAAGAACCCCGGCGAGGGGAGUGAAAAAGAACCUGAAACCGUGUACGUACAAGCAGUGGGAGCCCCACCACUAAGCCA
Molecule: ribosomal RNA, 564 nt
Filed under: Salmonella enterica subsp. enterica serovar Bovismorbificans
Lineage: Bacteria; Pseudomonadati; Pseudomonadota; Gammaproteobacteria; Enterobacterales; Enterobacteriaceae
Description: partial 23S ribosomal RNA
Rfam family: Bacterial large subunit ribosomal RNA
Source: RNAcentral